AAGGUAUUUCCUGCCCUAUGGUUUUAUCUAAAUGGCUGCAGUAUUUUGACUGUGCAAAGGUAGCAUAGUAAUUAGUUUCUUAAUUAGGAACUUGUAUGAAUGGAUGAAUGAGAUAUAGUUUUUAUUUAUUUAAAAGUUAAAAUUUUAACUUUAAGUAAAAAUGCUUAAGAUUUUUCUUGGGACGAUAAGACCCUAUAGAACUUAAUAUUUGCUUAAUAAAUUGUUUUUAAUUCUUUUAUAUGAUUUUUUAUUUAAAUGUUUUGCUGGGGUGGUUAAUAAAUUUUAAAACUUUAUUUUUUUAUUUCAUUGUUAGUUGUUUUUAUUGAUCCUAAUGGAUUAAAAGAAUAAGUUACCUUAGGGAUAACAGCGUAAUUUUAGUGGGGAGUUCAUAUCUAUACUGAUUUUGCGACCUCGAUGUUGAAUUAAGAAAAAACUAAGAAGCAGAAUUCUUAGAUUUAAGUCUGUUCGA
RNAcentral lists this ribosomal RNA (469 nucleotides) under Aconurella sibirica. Its description in RNAcentral is "partial large subunit ribosomal RNA". Lineage: Eukaryota; Metazoa; Arthropoda; Insecta; Hemiptera; Cicadellidae. The record is from RNAcentral.